Molecule: ribosomal RNA, 1280 nt
Filed under: Transversotrema titanis
Lineage: Eukaryota; Metazoa; Platyhelminthes; Trematoda; Azygiida; Transversotrematidae
Description: partial large subunit ribosomal RNA
Rfam family: Eukaryotic large subunit ribosomal RNA
Source: RNAcentral
UUAAGCAUAUCACUAAGCGGAGGAAGAGAAACUAACAAGGAUUCCCUUAGUAACUGCGAGUGAAGAGGGAAAAGCCCAGCACCGAAGGUAGUAUUCAUUUGAGUACCUACCAAUGUGGUGUUAAGGUCGACUUGUAUAAGUGUGGCUCCAUCUCAAGUCCAGCAAUGAGUACGGUUUUUUGGACUUGGCCCAAAGUGGGUGAAAGGCCCGUGGAGGUGGAGAUCAGAAAUGUCCGCGCUUAUCGAGUUUGACCAUGGAGUCGGGUUGUUUGUGAAUGCAGCCCAAAGUGGGUGGUAAACUCCAUCCAAGGCUAAAUACGUACACGAGUCCGAUAGCGAACAAGUACCGUGAGGGAAAGUUGAAAAGUACUUUGAAGAGAGAGUAAACAGUGCGUGAAGCCGCAUAGAGGUUAAACGGGUAGAGUUAAGCUGCGUGAGUCAUGGAUUCAGCCGGUGAAUUUGGCUUGUGCUUGGACAUAAUGCAAUCAUCUGAGUCUGCUUAGCUGCAGGUCCCUCUGGGAUUCGCGAGGCACUUUUUAAGUGUUGCGUGCUCAGCUGACAUUACAGCUAUUUGCCGGUGCACUUCCAUGACUUCCAGACCACGAUCGGUGUUGUUGGACUGCUCCUGUUGUCAAACUGUGGAUGUAGGCCUCAACCUAUGUCCUCGGUGUGAUAGUACCUCCACGAAUGUGGGCCGCAGUUGUCAGCGGGCAGCAGUUCGAUGGACCGUGACGGCGGCCUAGGCAUGCUUUCAUGCUCUCUGCUAGAAAAUAGUGUGUAUGGCUAUCAUGUGCUUGUGUAAGCAAGCCUGAUGGCUACAUAUUGUUAUCUGGUAGUGUGGUGUGUGAGAAGCCGCUUAAAUGGGCCAAAGUCGGUGGUGUGUGGUAAACUUUCUACCCGACCCGUCUUGAAACACGGACCAAGGAGUUUAACAUGUGCGCGAGUCAUUGGGCUAUACGUAACCUAGAGGCGAAGUGAAAGUGAAGGUUUGCAUUUGCAAGCUGUGGUGAGAUCCUGUCGUUUCCUGUGUCGCCGGGCAUUCGAGCGGCAGGCGCAUCACCGGUCCGUCCAAUAAUGUGGUUGAUUUUCAGUGAUUUUGCGUCAUUGGGGCGGAACAUGAGCGCACACGUUGAGACCCGAAAGAUGGUGAACUAUGCUUGCGCAGGUUGAAGCCAGGGGAAACCCUGGUGGAGGACCGCAGCGAUUCUGACGUGCAAAUCGAUCGUCAAACGUGAGUAUAGGGGCGAAAGACUAAUCGAACCAUCUAGUAGCUGGUUCCCU